AGUAACGGCGAGUGAAGCGGCAAGAGCUCAAAUUUGAAAUCUGUCUCCUUUGGAGGCCGAGUUGUAAUUUGAAGAGGAUGCCUCGCGGAUGGUGCCGCCCUAAGUCCCUUGGAACAGGGCGUCAUAGAGGGUGAGAAUCCCGUAUGUGGGUGGAUACCGGACGCGUGUGAGGCUCCUUCGACGAGUCGAGUUGUUUGGGA
This 200-nucleotide ribosomal RNA is filed under the name Pleosporales sp. RNAcentral describes it as "partial large subunit ribosomal RNA". It matches the Rfam family "Eukaryotic large subunit ribosomal RNA", at positions 82 to 279 of the family's 3401-position model. Lineage: Eukaryota; Fungi; Ascomycota; Dothideomycetes; Pleosporales. The record is from RNAcentral.